UACGUAGGGCGCGAGCGUUGUCCGGAAUUAUUGGGCGUAAAGAGCUCGUAGGCGGCCGGUUGCGUCUGCUGUGAAAUCCCGGGGCUUAACCCCGGGCGUGCAGUGGAUACGGGCCGGCUGGAGGCAGGCAGGGGAGAAUGGAAUUCCCGGUGUAGCGGUGAAAUGCGCAGAUAUCGGGAGGAACAUCAGUGGCGAAGGCGGCUACCUGGCCCAAUACUGACACUCAGGUGCGACAGCGUGGGGAGCAAACAGG
This 253-nucleotide ribosomal RNA is filed under the name uncultured bacterium. Its description in RNAcentral is "partial 16S ribosomal RNA". It matches the Rfam family "Bacterial small subunit ribosomal RNA", at positions 524 to 776 of the family's 1533-position model. The record is from RNAcentral.